UAGGGAAUCUUCCACAAUGGACGCAAGUCUGAUGGAGCAACGCCGCGUGAGUGAAGAAGGUUUUCGGAUCGUAAAGCUCUGUUGUUGGUGAAGAAGGAUAGAGGCAGUAACUGGUCUUUAUUUGACGGUAAUCAACCAGAAAGUCACGGCUAACUACGUGCCAGCAGCCGCGGUAAUGCGUAGGUGGCAAGCGUUGUCCGGAUUUAUUGGGCGUAAAGCGAGCGCAGGCGGAAUGAUAAGUCUGAUGUGAAAGCCCACGGCUCAACCGUGGAACUGCAUCGGAAACUGUCAUUCUUGAGUGCAGAAGAGGAGAGUGGAAUUCCAUGUGUAGCGGUGGAAUGCGUAGAUAUAUGGAAGAACACCAGUGGCGAAGGCGGCUCUCUGGUCUGCAACUGACGCUGAGGCUCGAAAGCAUGGGUAGCGAACAGG
RNAcentral lists this ribosomal RNA (429 nucleotides) under bacterium. RNAcentral describes it as "partial 16S ribosomal RNA". It matches the Rfam family "Bacterial small subunit ribosomal RNA", at positions 355 to 776 of the family's 1533-position model. The record is from RNAcentral.